Molecule: ribosomal RNA, 1448 nt
Filed under: human gut metagenome
Description: bacterial LSU rRNA
Rfam family: Bacterial large subunit ribosomal RNA
Source: RNAcentral
GUGGAAAAGGAUGUGGGGUCUCGAAGACAACCAGGAUGUUGGCUCAGAAGCAGCCAUUCAUUCAAAGAGUGCGUAAUAGCUCACUGGUCGAGAGGCCCUGCGCCGAAAAUGUCCGGGGCUGAAACGUACCACCGAAACUAAGGGAUCCGCAAGGAUCGGUAGAGGAGCAUUGCAUGCGGAAUGAAGCAGUACCGGAAGGAGCUGUGGACUGCAUGGAAGAGAGAAUGCCGGAAUGAGUAGCGAGAUAGAGGUGGGAAUCCUCUAGGCCGAAUAUCCAAGGUUUCCAGAGUAAAGCUGAUCUGCUCUGGGUAAGUCGGGGCCUAAGGCGAGGACGAGAGUCGUAGCCGAUGGACAACAGGUGGAGAUUCCUGUACUGCGGUAUGACAGAACUGUGGGGACACGUAAGGAAAGCGGAAGCCGGGAAUGGAAAGCCCGGUGCAAGCAGGGUACCAGUCGCUUAGGAAAAACCGGGCGGCAAUGGGAAGCUGUGAUGCGGAGCGAAAUACAAGUAGCGAAGUCCGUGAGCCAUGCGUCAAGAAAAGCCGCUAUUGUUUAUACCGUACCCGUACCGUAAACCGACACAGGUGGAUGAGGAGAGAAUCCUAAGGCCGGCGGAAGAAGCAUUGUCAAGGAACUCGGCAAAAUGACCCCGUAACUUCGGGAGAAGGGGUGCCACUGAGAAGUGGCCGCAGAGAAUAGGCUCAAGCAACUGUUUAGCAAAAACACAGGUCUAUGCGAAACCGAAAGGUGAGGUAUAUGGGCUGACGCCUGCCCGGUGCUGGAAGGUUAAGAGGAGAGGUUAGCGCAAGCGAAGCUUUGAAUUUAAGCCCCAGUAAACGGCGGCCGUAACUAUAACGGUCCUAAGGUAGCGAAAUUCCUUGUCGGGUAAGUUCCGACCCGCACGAAAGGCGUAAUGAUUUGAGCGCUGUCUCGACAAUGCAUCCGGUGAAAUUGAAGUACCAGUGAAGAUGCUGGUUACCUGCGCCAGGACGGAAAGACCCCAUGGAGCUUUACUCCAGUUUGGUACUGGGGUCCGGUAUUGCAUGUACAGGAUAGGUGGGAGGCUAGGAAGCAGUAACGCCAGUUGCUGCGGAGCCGCUGUUGGGAUACCACCCUUGCAGUACUGGGCUUCUAACCAGCCGCCGUGAACCGGCGGUGGGACAAUGCCAGACGGGGAGUUUGACUGGGGCGGUCGCCUCCGAAAGGGUAUCGGAGGCGCCCAAAGGUUCCCUCAGAAUGGACGGAAACCAUUCGAAGAGUGCAAAGGCAGAAGGGAGCUUGACUGCGACACCGACGGGUGGAGCAGGUACGAAAGUAGGGCUUAGUGAUCCGGUGGUAUUAAGUGGGAAUGCCAUCGCUCAACGGAUAAAAGCUACCCUGGGGAUAACAGGCUUAUCACUCCCAAGAGUUCACAUCGACGGAGUGGUUUGGCACCUCGAUGUCGGCUC